UACGUAGGGUGCUAGCGUUGUUCGGAAUCAUUGGGCGUAAAGCGCGUGUAGGCGGUCAGUUAAGUUGAGUGUGAAAGCCCUGGGCUCAACCGAGGAAGUGCAUUCAAAACUAACUGACUGGAAGGUGGUAGAGGAAGGUGGAAUUCCAAGUGUAGAGGUGAAAUUCGUAGAUAUUUGGAGGAAUACCUGAGGCGAAGGCGGCCUUCUGGGCCACUCUUGACGCUGAGACGCGAAAGCGUGGGUAGCAAACAGG
RNAcentral lists this ribosomal RNA (253 nucleotides) under uncultured bacterium. Its description in RNAcentral is "partial 16S ribosomal RNA". It matches the Rfam family "Bacterial small subunit ribosomal RNA", at positions 524 to 776 of the family's 1533-position model. The record is from RNAcentral.